Molecule: transfer RNA, 75 nt
Filed under: Anaerolineae bacterium
Lineage: Bacteria; Bacillati; Chloroflexota; Anaerolineae
Description: tRNA-Pro
Rfam family: tRNA
About the family: Transfer RNA (tRNA) molecules are approximately 80 nucleotides in length. Their secondary structure includes four short double-helical elements and three loops (D, anti-codon, and T loops). Further hydrogen bonds mediate the characteristic L-shaped molecular structure. tRNAs have two regions of fundamental functional importance: the anti-codon, which is responsible for specific mRNA codon recognition, and the 3' end, to which the tRNAs corresponding amino acid is attached (by aminoacyl-tRNA synthetases). tRNAs cope with the degeneracy of the genetic code in two manners: having more than one tRNA (with a specific anti-codon) for a particular amino acid; and 'wobble' base-pairing, i.e. permitting non-standard base-pairing at the 3rd anti-codon position.
Source: RNAcentral
CGGGGUGUGGCGCAGCGGUAGCGCACCUGGUUUGGGACCAGGGGGCCGCCCGUUCAAAUCGGGCCACCCCGACCU